CCUACGGGAGGCUGCAGUGGGGAAUAUUGCACAAUGGGCGCAAGCCUGAUGCAGCCAUGCCGCGUGUGUGAAGAAGGCCUUCGGGUUGUAAAGCACUUUCAGCGGGGAGGAAGGCGGUGAGGUUAAUAACCUCAUCGAUUGACGUUACCCGCAGAAGAAGCACCGGCUAACUCCGUGCCAGCAGCCGCGGUAAUACGGAGGGUGCAAGCGUUAAUCGGAAUUACUGGGCGUAAAGCGCACGCAGGCGGUCUGUCAAGUCGGAUGUGAAAUCCCCGGGCUCAACCUGGGAACUGCAUUCGAAACUGGCAGGCUAGAGUCUUGUAGAGGGGGGUAGAAGUCCAGGUGGAGCGGUGAAAUGCGUAGAGAUCUGGAGGAAUACCGGUGGCGAAGGCGGCCCCCUGGACAAAGACUGACGCUCAGGUGCGAAAGCGUGGGGAGCAAACAGGAUUAGAUACCCCGGUAGUC
Molecule: ribosomal RNA, 465 nt
Filed under: uncultured Klebsiella sp.
Lineage: Bacteria; Pseudomonadati; Pseudomonadota; Gammaproteobacteria; Enterobacterales; Enterobacteriaceae
Description: bacterial SSU rRNA
Rfam family: Bacterial small subunit ribosomal RNA
Source: RNAcentral